AUCCCUUGAAGCACACCACAACACCCUCCCUUUUUCUUUCUCUCUGCCUCAGCCCUCAGGCGACAAGCAAGAACAAGGGCCCAGAUGUGGUUCUCUUUUUUUCUCUAUCUUCCUCUCCAUGCGUGUCUCAUUCUCAGGUCUACCAAUUGAAUGAUGAUGGAAAAUGGGAUGAUCAAGGUUGGGCAUGUCACUCUUGACAAUUUGGAGCAUUGACUGCAACUCCUCCAGCUAGAACAACCUCCUCAAGUUCUUGAAUGGUUUGGCUAAGCUUUUCCAGCUGAUAAAGUUAUAAUUAGCUAAGCAAAUGGACUCACAACAAAGACAAGUGCACAAAGGAUGAUGAAUUGAAGGAUGGAGCAAGUUUCGUUUACUUUUGUGUAUCUUGUAAUGUUUCUAUUUUUCAUUUUUGAAGUAAAAAUUGUUCAAAAUUAUAAAACUUUAUUAUGUUAUGCUUUCAAACUUAAGUUAGAACUAAGAUCUCAUGAAGUAGACACAUUCAUGGUUUGAAUUAGUUAUUGUUUAAUGUAAUACUUAUGGUUUAUCAAUCUAUUGAG
Humulus lupulus (European hop) is the source of this 554-nucleotide long non-coding RNA. RefSeq lists it as uncharacterized. NCBI's taxonomy places the organism in Eukaryota, Viridiplantae, Streptophyta, Magnoliopsida, Rosales, Cannabaceae. The record is from RefSeq and is a predicted model, not a curated record. The transcript has 4 exons.